Molecule: long non-coding RNA, 1766 nt
Organism: Aedes aegypti (yellow fever mosquito)
Lineage: Eukaryota; Metazoa; Arthropoda; Insecta; Diptera; Culicidae
Exons: 2
Source: RefSeq, a predicted model, not a curated record
UGUUCAGAUUAAAUGUGGUCAAACCAAGUGGGUACCCGGUAUACCAUUAUACAUACAUUGGUUUUGUUUCAAUUUCACAUAUAAAAACUACGAAAUCACUUUGAAAUGGAAUAGAUAUAAAAACACAUGGCGAAUACUGAUACAGGUGAGCUAGUAUUUAUGCUUAUGUGUUUGUACUAAUCAUGGCAUAUUAUUAGUGUUCAGAAUUCUAUUGAUUAAAUUAUAAAAUAUAUUAUUUGUUAUUGUGGUGAAUACGAAGAGUAGGAAGCUAUCACAGUAAUGUUUGCCGCGAAUAACACAUUUUCAGGAAUUACAAAUGUUUGGAAUCCAAUAAAUAAACGACGAGUCGUCUUCUAUUUGAGCUUAAUUAGGGGCUGUACAUAAACCACGUGGUCAUUUUUAUUUGAUUUUCAGAACUUCCCCCUCCUUCCAUAGAAGAUCACCUGUCUCUCAGUUUCGUACAAUUUGUUUUUUUUUUUCUGCUGGAAAUCAUUGUUUUUUAUGCACUGGUUUCUUAUAAAACAUUAGAUUUUUUGUUUUUGAUGAUCGAGGGUAUAAAAUUGGUUAUAAGAAAAAAUAACAUUCGCGAUUCUUGCAGAAGUGGAUUCCUACCAUAUCUCUACGAACAUACUUGGAGGAAUCUUGCAAAUCUCGUGAAAACCUUCGUAAACAUUUUUGACAAAUUUCUGGCGGUAGUGUUUGUUGAAAUCUUUUCAACUAUGUAAUUGUUUUAUUGUAUUUAAGUAACAUAUUUUUUAAAGAAUUUCUUAUCGCACUUUUGAAAAAAUGUUCGAUAGACUUUUGGAAAGAUUCUUAGUGAACUUCAGAAGAUAUUGGAAGAAUUCCAGAGUUUGAUUUUGAUCCGAAUGAUUUAUGAUAUGUUACACCGAGUGUCAGCGAAUAUAACACGUGGAGACACUCAGUGAUCAGCACCAAACAGAUGGUGAAGAUCAAAGUACCUUAAUUCACAGGUAACGGAUUCCCACUAAUGGUAAUGUAUAACGUUGCGUUGCGUUGCAUGGUAAUGGAGUAUUUCGUAGAUUGCAUACUGAAAACUGUCAUGUUAGAAACUUUACAACACUUAUUCCAAUUGCUAAUGGAAAAAUAUUUUGGAUCAAAUAGUUAAGGAGUUGAAUGAUGGGAAGAGAAAUGGUGUAGGAUUCACAAUAAGCGAGUGAUGCGACCGGAUUGAAAUUAAGUGUAUGUGUAGUUUAGUAUACUUUUUGUAAUUGAGUGUAAGUGUGAAUGAAAUGUUUUCAUCAUCGUUGGGAGUGACGUUGCUAAGAAAGUUAAAGUCACUCCAUGCGUGUUCGUCUUCCAGGGAUGAGUUACAGGUAUUUCCACCUUGUGCCCUAGCUGGGCACUGGAUGAAAUAAAAUUCACGUGAGCAGGAAUUCGCUUCAACGCAAGAUUGUCAAUUUUUAUGUGAAAAACAGUUGAUUUCAGCAAAUUUUGCUGCAAAUAUCGGAUUACAGAAUGAAAUUAAAAAAAAAUAAUAACAAACGCGGAUGUAUUAGUGAGCCAAUUUCCGGGAACUUGUGUAUUAAAGUACUUUGGAUAAAGAUGGUGUUAUUUUUUUCAAUCCUGAAGCUAUGCUUUCAAUCCUGAAGGUAUGCUGUUCCGCUCAAGAAAAGUAAAAAUUUCUGCUCAAGAAAUGGUCAAGAAAUUUCCUACAGUGAGCUCUGUAGUAUCGGUUCCCGAACCAAACUUGCUGAAUCUCGAUCACGGCAGGGUCACAGCGGCAACCAAGAAUUCCGGAUCCAAAA